This 367-nucleotide ribosomal RNA is filed under the name uncultured organism. RNAcentral's name for it is "bacterial LSU rRNA". It matches the Rfam family "Bacterial large subunit ribosomal RNA", at positions 2099 to 2465 of the family's 2925-position model. The record is from RNAcentral.
CUUUACUGUAGCUUUGCAUUGGACUUUGAAUCGGUCUGUGUAGGAUAGGUGGGAGGCGUUGAUAACAGGAUGCUAGUUCUGUUGGAGCCAACCUUGAAAUACCACCCUGAUUUAUUUGAGGUUCUAACCUUGGCCCGUUAUCCGGGUCGGGAACAGUGCAUGGUAGGCAGUUUGACUGGGGCGGUCUCCUCCCAAAGUGUAACGGAGGAGUACGAAGGUACGCUUGGUACGGUCGGACAUCGUACCUAAAGUGCAAUGGCAAAAGCGUGCUUAACUGCGAGACCGACAAGUCGAGCAGGUGCGAAAGCAGGUCAUAGUGAUCCGGUGGUUCUGUAUGGAAGGGCCAUCGCUCAACGGAUAAAAGGUA